GGCGAGAUGGCCGAGUGGUCUAAGGCGCCAGACUAAGGUUUUCGAAGAGCGUAUCUGGUCCGAAAGGGCGUGGGUUCGAAUCCCACUCUCGUCA
Molecule: non-coding RNA, 94 nt
Organism: Panus rudis PR-1116 ss-1
Lineage: Eukaryota; Fungi; Basidiomycota; Agaricomycetes; Polyporales; Panaceae
Source: the annotation of a GenBank genome assembly